RNAcentral lists this ribosomal RNA (311 nucleotides) under uncultured eukaryote. RNAcentral describes it as "partial 18S ribosomal RNA". It matches the Rfam family "Eukaryotic small subunit ribosomal RNA", at positions 1470 to 1796 of the family's 1831-position model. The record is from RNAcentral.
CCCUUAGAUGUCCUGGGCCGCACGCGCGCUACACUGAUGCAUACAGCGAGUACUCCCAGCUCCGAGAGGCUGCUGGUAAUCAGCAAUAUGCAUCGUGAUGGGGAUAGAUCUUUGGAAUUAUAGAUCUUGAACGAGGAAUUCCUAGUAAUCGCAGGUCAUCACCCUGCGUUGACUAAGUCCCUGCCCUUUGUACACACCGCCCGUCGCUCCUACCGAUUUCGAGUGAUCCGGUGAAUCAUUCGGACCGCGGCCCCUAGGCAUGCGGAAAGUCUAGUAAACCAUAUCACUUAGAGGAAGGAGAAGUCGUAACA